Non-coding RNA from Psammomys obesus (fat sand rat), 527 nucleotides. NCBI's taxonomy places the organism in Eukaryota, Metazoa, Chordata, Mammalia, Rodentia, Muridae. The record is from the annotation of a RefSeq genome assembly.
GUAAUCGUGGAAAGAACAAACGUGGACUGUGAGUCAUGGCCUGGACUUCUCUUUUGAUCACACUCCUGGCUCACUGCACAGGAGCCAUGUCCCAGGCAGUUGUGACUCAGGAAUCUUCACUCACCACAUCUCCUGGAGAGACAGCCACACUCACUUGUGGCUCAAGUACUGGGGCUGUUACUACCAAUAACUAUGCCAUAUGGGUCCAAGAAAAACCUUACCACAUACACAAGGGUCUUAUAGGUAGUACCAGCAGCCGAGCUCCAGGUAUUCCUGCCCGAUUCUCAGGCUCCCUGCUUGGAGACAAGGCUGUCCUCACCAUCACAGGGGCCCAGCCUGAGGAUGAGGCUGUGUAUUACUGUGCUCUGUGGUUCAGCAACCAUUUCCACAGUGGCACAUGCAGAUGGGGAAGUAGAACACAAACCCCCUGGUACAGCCUCCUAACUGUCUUCUUACCAUGUGGCUAUAUCUCCCUAAGCUCAGAGUGCCUGUUUGGUAACCAUAGAGAACUUCAUAGAAGCUAUUAA